RNAcentral lists this ribosomal RNA (236 nucleotides) under uncultured bacterium. RNAcentral's name for it is "partial 16S ribosomal RNA". It matches the Rfam family "Bacterial small subunit ribosomal RNA", at positions 524 to 758 of the family's 1533-position model. The record is from RNAcentral.
UACGGGGGGGGCAAGCGUUGUUCGGAAUUACUGGGCGUAAAGGGCUCGUAGGCGGCCAACUAAGUCAGACGUGAAAUCCCUCGGCUUAACCGGGGAACUGCGUCUGAUACUGGAUGGCUUGAGCUCGGGAGAGGGAUGCGGAAUUCCAGGUGUAGCGGUGAAAUGCGUAGAUAUCUGGAGGAACACCGGUGGCGAAGGCGGCAUCCUGGACCACGACUGACGCUGAGUGAGCGAAA